Molecule: unclassified non-coding RNA, 156 nt
Filed under: soil metagenome
Description: partial internal transcribed spacer 1
Source: RNAcentral
CAGAGUUGCAAAAACUCCCACAAACCAUUUCGACGAAAACGUUAUCCAGUUGCCGUCGUGUGCUUCGGCGGGCUUCAGCCCGACCCGGCCGGGGCACGCAUACAGACUCUGCAGUAUCUACGUGCAUCUCUGAGUAUGCUUUAUUUAAAUAAGUCA